GACGAACGCUGGCGGCGUGCUUAACACAUGCAAGUCGAACGGAAAGGCCCUGCUUUUGUGGGGUGCUCGAGUGGCGAACGGGUGAGUAACACGUGAGUAACCUGCCCUUGACUUUGGGAUAACUUCAGGAAACUGAGGCUACUACCAGAUAGGAGCUCCUGCUGCAUGGUGGGGGUUGGAAAGUUUCGGCGGUAGGGGCUGGACUCGCGGCUGAUCAGCUUGUUGGUUGGGUAGUGGCAUACCAAGGCAUUGACGGGUAGCCGGCCUGGGAGGGUGGCCGGCCUCAAUGGUACUGCGGGACGGCCCAGUCUCCUACAGUGGGCAGCAGGGGGGAAUAUUGUCCAAUGGGCGGAAGCCUGAUGCAGCGACGCCGCGUUCGUGAUGACGUCCUUCGGGUUGUAAACCGCUUUCGCCUGUGACGAAGCGGGAGUGACGGUAAUGGGUAAAUAAGCACCGGCUAACUACGUG
RNAcentral lists this ribosomal RNA (468 nucleotides) under uncultured bacterium. RNAcentral describes it as "partial 16S ribosomal RNA". It matches the Rfam family "Bacterial small subunit ribosomal RNA", at positions 28 to 507 of the family's 1533-position model. The record is from RNAcentral.